ACUCUUUAUGAAUGAUGAUUCAAAAGAAAUUUUAAUUUAGACGUUAGACUUCUGAUGCUGGUUUUCGCCAGUCAGGAAGAAAGAAUUUCAUAUGUAUCUGACUCAAGAGU
Small nucleolar RNA from Zygosaccharomyces rouxii, 110 nucleotides. Lineage: Eukaryota; Fungi; Ascomycota; Saccharomycetes; Saccharomycetales; Saccharomycetaceae. The record is from RefSeq and is a predicted model, not a curated record.